This is a long non-coding RNA of Mus musculus (house mouse), 756 nucleotides long. RefSeq annotates it as predicted gene, 53367. The transcript is spliced from 2 exons. NCBI's taxonomy places the organism in Eukaryota, Metazoa, Chordata, Mammalia, Rodentia, Muridae. The record is from RefSeq and is a predicted model, not a curated record.
CAGACUCCUCUUGGUUACUGUGGUCAAAAUAACCACUGACAGAGACAGUCUGCAGAGGGAGGGAGUCUUUUGACUCAAUCUUUUGGAGGCACCAGUCCACCACACAGGAAGGUGUGGCAAAGCAGAACAGUUCCCACCAUGUAGCUACCAGGAAGCGGAGAAAGGGGGAGCUGGCAUUCUCUUGGCUCCCUGGAUCAUCCAGUACUCAGGACAGCGUACCCGCAUCUCAGGUACACUGGAGACAGAUAGCUCCGUGUGGUGACUGACACGGACCACGUCGAAGACUGCUAUUUGCUGAAGAUGAACAGGUGAAGUCAGCCCCAAGCUGCCAACAAUGCAGGGGACCCGUGCUCACACAGGACCAUGGUGAUGUUGCCUGGGUCCCUUGAAAAGAAGCCUGGAGACUCCACGUGCUAUUCACAAAGGCUUGCCUGUGCAAGGCACAGGGCCACCCAACCCAGCACCCUUCUCUGGGCACCUGGUUUUUCUCGGGACAUCAACCUUCAUCCACUCAGUCUAUAUGAUGAUGGAAGGGGCUGCUUCUGUUCCUGUCCUGGGCCACAGUGACAGGCUCUGCCACAGUCAUGCCAUGCAAGCCAUCCCAAGGAGACUGAAUUCCCUAAGUCUGGAACAUAUAUUGGAGAAAGAACAGGAUUUCUUGAUCCCUUUCUGCUCUGUAAACCACUUAAGCUGACUUCUUUCCCAUCACUUGUAGCCAAUAACGUAUAAUCUAAAUAAACUGAUAUUUAACUUCAA